This 424-nucleotide ribosomal RNA is filed under the name uncultured prokaryote. RNAcentral's name for it is "bacterial SSU rRNA". It matches the Rfam family "Bacterial small subunit ribosomal RNA", at positions 355 to 796 of the family's 1533-position model. The record is from RNAcentral.
UGGGGAAUAUUGGACAAUGGGGGAAACCCUGAUCCAGCAAUGCCGCGUGAGUGAUGAAGGCCUUAGGGUUGUAAAGCUCUUUUACCCGGGAUGAUAAUGACAGUACCGGGAGAAUAAGCUCCGGCUAACUCCGUGCCAGCAGCCGCGGUAAUACGGAGGGAGCUAGCGUUGUUCGGAAUUACUGGGCGUAAAGCGCGCGUAGGCGGCUUUCCAAGUCAGAGGUGAAAUCCCGGGGCUCAACCCCGGAACUGCCCUUGAUACUGGAUGUCUGGAGUUCGAGAGAGGUGAGUGGAAUUCCGAGUGUAGAGGUGAAAUUCGUAGAUAUUCGGAGGAACACCAGUGGCGAGGGCGGCUCACUGGCUCGAUACUGACGCUGAGGUGCGAAAGUGUGGGGAGCAAACAGGAUUAGAUACCCGCGUAGUCC